Molecule: ribosomal RNA, 497 nt
Filed under: uncultured bacterium
Lineage: Bacteria
Description: partial 16S ribosomal RNA
Rfam family: Bacterial small subunit ribosomal RNA
Source: RNAcentral
GAUGAACGCUGGCGGCGUGCCUAAUACAUGCAAGUCGAGCGAACGGACGAGAAGCUUGCUUCUCUGAUGUUAGCGGCGGACGGGUGAGUAACACGUGGAUAACCUACCUAUAAGACUGGGAUAACUUCGGGAAACCGGAGCUAAUACCGGAUGAUAUUUUGAACCGCAUGGUUCAAAAGUGAAAGACAGUCUUGCUGUCACUUAUAGAUGGAUCCGCGCUGCAUUAGCUAGUUGGUAAGGUAACGGCUUACCAAGGCAACGAUGCAUAGCCGACCUGAGAGGGUGAUCGGCCACACUGGAACUGAGACACGGUCCAGACUCCUACGGGAGGCAGCAGUAGGGAAUCUUCCGCAAUGGGCGAAAGCCUGACGGAGCAACGCCGCGUGAGUGAUGAAGGUCUUCGGAUCGUAAAACUCUGUUAUUAGGGAAGAACAUAUGUGUAAGUAACUGUGCACAUCUUGACGGUACCUAAUCAGAAAGCCACGGCUAACUACGUG